GCUGGGGGUGGUAGCACACUCCUGUAAUCCCAGUGACCCAGGAGGCUGAGGCAGGAGGAUCAUGAGUUCAAAGCCAUCCUCAGCAACUUAGCAAGUCCCUAAGCAACUUAGUGAGACCCUGUUUCUA
Molecule: small RNA, 127 nt
Filed under: Marmota monax (woodchuck)
Lineage: Eukaryota; Metazoa; Chordata; Mammalia; Rodentia; Sciuridae
Source: RNAcentral